This is a long non-coding RNA of Actinia tenebrosa (Australian red waratah sea anemone), 1053 nucleotides long. The record is from RefSeq and is a predicted model, not a curated record. NCBI's taxonomy places the organism in Eukaryota, Metazoa, Cnidaria, Anthozoa, Actiniaria, Actiniidae.
UGAGUUCGCAGUCGGCGCACAGUCUUGUUACUAAUGCUUUUGAUGGUGUCCAUCUAUAUCUAAGGAAUAUUUUAUCCUCCGUUUGCGACCUUGCCCAUCGUUUUGGCUACCUUUAAUCCCCAACACAGCAGCAGUAAGGGGCUCAGCGCGCAACAUAUAACAGAACACGGGUAAUUCCCGCGGGGGACGCUAGUGCGUAAACACGGGUAAUUCCCGGGCAAUCCCAAAUGGUGACCGCGAGUCCCCCUUACUGCUGCUUAGUUAGGAGCUUGUAAAUAUUGAUUGAAUUUCUUCGUAAUGUCGCAGUCAGGAAAUUCAGAUCAACACAACCGGCGAAGAAGAAGACGGUGGAUGAAAUUCAAAAAGACCCUGUAUAUGCUGAGAUCCCUGAAGAACAACGUAACAACGCACCUCCAGUUGAUCAGGCGGGAGGUAUAUAUAGCUAUGCAUUUGACGACCCACAGACAGCAUAUAUAGCACCCCAACCAGCUCCAUAUAACAGACUGGAGCACAAACAACAAGGGCUUAAUCAGGAAGGGGCGUUAUACUCCACUGCAGAUGAUGGUCCUGUGUAUAAUGUCCUAGAACGUCCCCUAGCUGAGAACAAUAUUAUUAUGGCGCCAGAGAGUACCGUGAAUGAGGGACCUCCGUCUCAAGUCCUCGAGCCAGAGUAUCUAGUCCUUGAGGAGCCCGAUACAACAAAUGGAAACAAGGACGUAAGACCCUCGAUUGGGACAGCCAAUCCUAGCGGACCUCAAAAUAUGGCUCCGAAAUCAAGAAGAAGGCCUCCUAGUCCACCAAGAAAAAUAUGAUUGUCAAAGUAAUGGAAUGACACGUAGUUUAAAAUCGGAAAACAUAAUGCCCAAGCUAAAGGAGGUCCCUUGCACGGAGUCCCUAGAGGAAUUGUUCUGGGGCACAAAACGAUGGAUUUUUUAUUUUGUAUUUUUACAUAAGAAAAGACGCCCUAUAUUGUUUGUCCCCCAGAGUAAAGUCACUAAACCCGUGGAACAGAUAUUCGACUGUAACACAUUAAUAGACUUUAAUUCCAUUGUU